This is a non-coding RNA of Hypoxylon sp. CI-4A, 86 nucleotides long. NCBI's taxonomy places the organism in Eukaryota, Fungi, Ascomycota, Sordariomycetes, Xylariales, Hypoxylaceae. The record is from the annotation of a GenBank genome assembly.
GGGCGUGUAACUCAGUGGUAGAGUGCUCGCUUUGCACCUUCCUAGGAAUCUGCGAGAAGCCCAGGGUUCGACUCCCUGCUCGUCCA